RNAcentral lists this ribosomal RNA (550 nucleotides) under uncultured Glomeromycotina. RNAcentral describes it as "SSU rRNA". It matches the Rfam family "Eukaryotic small subunit ribosomal RNA", at positions 550 to 1109 of the family's 1831-position model. The record is from RNAcentral. Lineage: Eukaryota; Fungi; Glomeromycota.
UUGGAGGGCAAGUCUGGUGCCCGCAGCCGCGGUAAUUCCAGCUCCAAUAGCGUAUAUUAAAGUUGUUGCAGUUAAAAAGCUCGUAGUUGAAUUUCGGGAUCAAUGUUUCGGUCAUGCCGUUGGUAUGUACUGAUACUAUUGAUUUCUCACCUUCUAAAGAACCGUAAUGCCAUUAAUUUGGUGUCACGGGGAAUUAGGACUGUUACCUUGAAAAAAUUAGAGUGUUUAAAGCAGGCUCACGCUUGAAUACAUUAGCAUGGAAUAAUGAAAUAGGACAUCCGAUUCUAUUUUGUUGGUUUCUAGGAUCGAUGUAAUGAUUAAUAGGGAUAGUUGGGGGCAUUAGUAUUCAAUUGUCAGAGGUGAAAUUCUUGGAUUUAUUGAAGACUAACUACUGCGAAAGCAUUUGCCAAGGAUGUUUUCAUUAAUCAAGAACGAAAGUUAGGGGAUCGAAGACGAUCAGAUACCGUCGUAGUCUUAWCCAUAAACUAUGCCGACUAGGGAUCGGAUGAUGUUAAUUUUUUAAUGACUCAUUCGGCGCCUUACGGGAAAC